RNAcentral lists this unclassified non-coding RNA (218 nucleotides) under fungal sp. RNAcentral's name for it is "partial internal transcribed spacer region". The stretch from base 1 to 46 matches the Rfam family "Eukaryotic small subunit ribosomal RNA", at positions 1786 to 1831 of the family's 1831-position model. The record is from RNAcentral. Lineage: Eukaryota; Fungi.
AAGUCGUAACAAGGUUUCCGUAGGUGAACCUGCGGAAGGAUCAUUACACAUUUUGGCCGUAACAAGCCUUAACCCUUCUCUACGCGUACCUUUACAUUCUCCUUCGGCGGGGUAACGCCCGCCGUUGGAACCUUGCCAACCCUUUUUGCAUCUAGCAUCUUACCGUUCCGAUAAAAACACAAUUGUUACAACUUUCAACAAUGGAUCUCUUGGCUCUG